GCAGGGAACAGCUGCAGUAGUACCCAGAGUGGUAACCAUGGCAACCUGAGGCCCUUGAGGCCGCAUAUUGUUUGCUCAGCCAGAAUCUCUUUUAAGUGCCAGCAGGAAUCGGAAGUGGGGAGACUUCAUAAAGAGCCAGCCAAUCCAUCAGCCAAUGCUUACUCUAGAGACAAUGAAGUUCCACUUGUUUUCAGGACACACCUCUUUCUUGGUUCUUCUCUUUUGCUGGAUCUUCAUUCAGAAAACAAUGGUUAGUUAACUUAAUCGAGGCUUUGUCCUGGGUCCUCUUCUCUCUCUCUCUCUCUCUCUCUCUCUCUCUCUCUCUCUCUCUCUCUCUCUCUCUCUCUCUCUCUCUCUCUCUCUCUCUCUCCCUCUCCCUCUCCCUCUCCCUCUCUCCCUCCCUCUCUCUCUCUCCCUCCCUCUCUCUCUCUCUCUCUCUCUCUCUCUCUCUCUCUCUCUCUCUCUCUCUCUCUCUCUCCAGGCCUCUUUAUUCCCUGGGACACAAUAUUGAAUUUAGGCAAAUUAAUAAUUCUAAAAUGGAUUCUAAGUGUUCAAGAGAAAAGUCAGUUGAUGUGGUAAGUUUUAUUAUUGUCUUAUUUUAAGAGAUUGCCACAGCUACCCUGCUUUCAGCAACCAACUUUCUGAUCAGUCAGCAGCCAUGAACAAUGAGGUAAGACUAUCAUCAAAAAGGCAUAACUGGAUAAAGGCUCAGAGGAUAGCAUUUUUUUUAGCAAUAAAGCAUUUUUAAUUAAGAUAUACA
RNAcentral lists this long non-coding RNA (760 nucleotides) under Monodelphis domestica (gray short-tailed opossum). Its description in RNAcentral is "lncRNA (ENSMODG00000038682.1)". Lineage: Eukaryota; Metazoa; Chordata; Mammalia; Didelphimorphia; Didelphidae. The record is from RNAcentral.